This is a long non-coding RNA of Aquila chrysaetos chrysaetos, 6816 nucleotides long. RefSeq lists it as uncharacterized. The record is from RefSeq and is a predicted model, not a curated record. The transcript is spliced from 2 exons. Lineage: Eukaryota; Metazoa; Chordata; Aves; Accipitriformes; Accipitridae.
GGCAGCGGGGGGUGCGCGCCCGGCCCAGGCGCGGUGGGGUGGUCCCGGGGAGCGGAGCGGGCUGGAGAGCGAUGGGCUUUAACUGAGGGCGGGCGUUCAGAGGAGGGCAGCCGCUCUGUCGCUACGGGGCGGCUGCAGCCCGUCCUGCGUUACUGACAGUCGUAGCUCUGGGGGCCGGGCCGGGCCGGGUCGCGCCGGGGCGGCCGGGCCUGCGAGGUGGCGGCUCCCGGGGGAAGCAGGUCUGCGGCGGGGCUCCCCUUCUGUUCCUGGCUGCGUUUACGAGGAAAACAGAAUUUGGUGGGUUUGGAAAGUUUGGACUGUGGAAGGUCUGGGGCAUCAAGUGAAGGUGUAUCCAUAGCUCUGUGGAACUGACCUGUAGUGCCAAAAGUGGAGGCUCUAGGGUGGUGAUUGCUAUUCGAGCAUGUUUGAUUAAUCUUUCCAUUCUCUUUAUCUUCCAUCUUCUGGCGUUUGCAUAGUGAACCUAUCGUGCACAACCCUUCUCUCCACCCCCACGCUGAAAUCAAAGGAGUUACGAGCAGUCAGUACCUUACAGGAGCAGAGCUCUCAUGCUUCCUUAUCAUCUUUGAAACUCGUUACUGCUUUUUUCUGCAAAGGUCAUAUGCGCGUUGCACCUAGACUUGGUGAUCAUGUCUCUGGAGUGGUAGUAAGAUAAAGUUGUCCCUCAUCUUAACUGAGGAUGUAAGUACCUGCCUCUCAUCACCUCACAUCUCUUAUGUCUACCCUGAAGCUGGAAAUGUUGAGUGCAGCAAAUGCAGAAAUAUCUGAACUUGUGUUAAUGUAAUUAGCUCAAUAUCAAGAAGAGCAAAGCCACAAUUAUUCAAGCUUUGAUACAGGCAAGUUACACCUGAAUAGACCGUGAGAGGCUGAGGUAAACUUGUACAGAAGUACUUGGCACCAUGACCCCACUGACACCAGUUCCAUGCUGUCAAGAUGAGAAUUAGGUCAUUACCAAGAUGAGAACUAGGCACUGAACACUUACCAUCAACCAAAAAUUGCACCUCUGCAGACAUUUUCUGUGACUGGGUCAGAGACUGAUAAAUAUCAGCACUUAUUUUGCUGGAUUUCUCAGAUGGGUAUCACCGUAAAACAAUUAAGAUUGGCACCAGUUUCUCCUUACCUUUCUUUGAAAAUCACUGCUACCUCUGCAAGACAGCUUGCAUAUUACUGUUAAAGUAAAUAAAAGCAAAAUGGCUUUGAAGCACUAUGAACUUGUUUAUAUGCAAGAGACAUACUAUUUUGGAGCAUAUGCUGUCACUAAUUCCUUUUUCAGUAUGAACAUUUGCCUUCUGGUUUUGAGAGUGGGAAUCAGUUCUUCCGCUGGAGUGAGCAGAAGAAUGUAUUGUCAUCGUGGUAUUAUCAAACUUGGGUCAAAGUUGUUGGGUUCCUACGGUAAAUAACAGAAUGGAAAUACACGGUCAUGGAUUCUCUAAGUCUGCAGAGUGUGUCCAAAGGAAAUAAUGAUACUCCCAUCUUCGUAAUAUUAUUUAGGCUGAAGAAACUAUUACAAAAAUAUGCUGCAGGAAGUCUUUCAGCAGUAGCAGAGCGUAGAGUACAGCUGAAAGUUUCAAAUCACACGAGUUAGGCGCUUAAACACUUUUUGAGUCAGCACUUAUUUAAGGAUAGAAUUUUACCUAACAAUCAUAAUACCUUUGAGAUCCCAUUCUAAGUAAGUAAGUGAUUUGUUUUAGUGGAUAUUUUCCAUUUCCAACCCACAGAUGACUCUUCAGCUGGUAGGUUUUUUGUUACCCACUCACAACAAAAUUCUUACUGUUCUUUGCACUGAAGAAACACAGAACAACCAAGGUCCCAAUGUGCUAGGCAGCAUAAAAAUACCAGGGUCAGCCACAAAUGUUUACAGAAAAUCACAGCCUAGUCAAUAUUAAAAGAACCCACUCGUUAUUGCAUGUGAAUGACUGUAUAACUCAUGGAAAAGGGUAAAGAGCAUUCCUGGUUGGUGUAAGCUAUUAGCAAAAGCUGAGUUUUUGCAUUAGCAGUUAACAUCAAUUCUGUUAAAGCCACCUCCAUCCAAGAUAAUGUUUCUGUCUGCAAGUAUUGUGUAUUACUAUUCCUCUGUAUUGGUAAAAGCCAAAGGGCUGACAUGAUGUGACUAAAUACAGCAUCACACCAUUAGCUCUCAUGAAAGCAUGACAUGUCCUAAUUAUUGAAAGGAAACAGAACAGGUACUACCACAUACAGGAAGGAUAAAUGCAUAACUAAGUGCAAAGGGGACCUUUAAUGCCUUUGUUUUUCAGCUGGGCAAAAUUUAAAGUUCAUCCAGAAGGGGACACUGAGAAAUCAAGUCUUCCUGGUUUAACAGAUGGGUUGUAAGUAAAUCCUCAAAAGUGUGGUAAGAAGUUAGUUGUGGCACUUACUCAGCGUGGUCCUCUGGACCAUCAGUCCCCUGCCAUCGAGAGUCAGGUAAACCUGUAAAAUACUUAAUUUUGUAAAAAUUCUUGGGACAAAAUCCUGAUGUUUUGUUCAAGAGAGUCUUCCCGUGGCUGGUAUGUAGAAAUGAAGCACUACAUAGAGCAGCUUCAAAUUGGCAACUGAUGUUCACCUAGUGGGCAAAAAAACAUCUAUGUGGUCUAAUAACAGAUUAAUGCUAGAGAAUUUAAUUUUUUAAAAACAUUCACUUCAAAAGCUCUUGUCAUACAAACUCAUAGUCAUGCCAGCAGAAUUUGAUACCCGUUUUACGGUUACUCUGCAAGAAAGCAUGAAGAGUUUGUGCUGUGUUGUGCCUCACUGAUUUCUCGAAAUACACUACACAUGAAAAAAGUAUGCAAAGUAAUAGUCCUUCCUUUGUUCUUUUAGAACAAGGUAGAGUUAAGAAACAGAAAUGCAAGCUUCCUUCCUGCUUCUUAUCCCUGUAGACGUGAGAAAUCAUUCUCUGCUUAGGCUUUCAGUUCUGUUUUGAAGCUUCAGCAAUUUUGCAAUUGAUACAACUUUUAGGUUUUUUUAAGAACUAGAUGGGAACAUCUAGACUGAAUUUUCAUUCAUCAGAAGCCAAGUAUGAUGCAAGCAGAGACAGCCAAACAGCUUCAUUUGAAUCAGCUGUGCAGCUCCCUAUCCAUCUUGAGGAAAAGAGAACAAUGAAUAAAUUCAAGUUUCUACUGACUUGUAGCAAUGAGCAGGAUGACUUGAUCAAAAAUAUCGAUACCUCACAAGCGAAUGGUGAUGUUUUUGACAAAUGAAGAAUACUAUGCUCUUCUACUUCAAAUCAAUCACAAAUUAAUUUUGUUCACACAAAACUAAUAUCUGUCUAUCUUUUGCACAUCUGGGUUUGAUAGCAGUCCAUUCCCAGCACAGCCACCAUCUGCCCAGGCAUUCCUACUAGCAGUGGGAACAUCUGUGCACCAAACCAUUUUAAUAGGUUUGGGAUGAAUCAAGAAUAGCUGGAGAAUGUGCCAUUUCGCUCUCCCAGAAGGCUGCCUCCUCCUAUAGGAACUUAAGCUUGAUAAAGGAUGAGGAAUGAGGCCAGGUCUAUAACUACCAUUACUGUUAACCCUUCUGUUACCACUGGGUAAGAAUAGACUUACAUGAUUUAAAGUUCCCCUCCAUGAGACAGCAAGAAAAUGAAGAGCAGGGAAGAUAGUUGUGAGACUUUCCAGCACGUUUGAAUUGAUAUUACUGAAACAUGACGCGUGUGACUGGGUUGUUUCUAUCGCCAUCUACAAGCUGUUUAGGAAAGACAAAAUGAGUAAUAAGGUGUGAAGGAGUAAGACUAUACAAACUAAAAAUAUUGCUACUUGUAUCUCAGAAUUGCAGAAUCUUAACUGCCCAUAAAUAAUUGCUAACAAAGCCUCCAUGGUACUUCUGUUAUGGAUCUUCACUCAUCACUAAAUCAUACCAGAGAAGGAAACAAGGUUUUUAUUAUGCACAGCUGCAUAAUGAAAAGUUGGGAUGCUAUAGCAGAUUUAUUCUCUUAAGCAAGCACAAUUUAAAUUACAUUUUCAAAAGCAAAUAUAUUAAUUCUGUAACACAACAGGCAUUGCACCCAACAUGUGGUAACUUUUUGUUGGAACUCACUAGGAAAAAAAAAUACUGGACUAAAAAUUAGUUGUUGUCUGGAACUAAUAAUAAUGAAUGAAACCAAGUAACAUUCAAUUUGGGCAGAUAACAGACCCAUUAUUAUUUCUCUAUGGAUCUGCAGUGCUUCAAAGAAUUUAAUGUUUUUGUAUUGAAUAAAAUUAUAGGAAAAAUGGAGGAAAAAUAUUUUAAAAGCAUGAAGAAGACUUCGUUGUCAAAUAGAUGAGGGUUCCAGAGUCAGAAGACUAUGGGCUAAAACCCCAUCGCAAAGUGAAGACAAUUAAAAGCCAAACAUCAAUAGAAAAAUUAGAAGUUAUGAAAUGUAAAAAAAAAAAAGGGAAAAAUCCUACCAAAAGGGUAUUAGGAACAAAAAGGAUAACACUCCCUAACAUUCAUUAUUACAUGAAUAAAGUAACUGUGCAAAAAAGAAAAAUUCAAUAGCAAUUUCUGUCCUAUAUCUGGAAGGGAUCAGGGUGGCCUACUAGAGCAGGUAGGGAUUAAUGAGGCAAAUUACUCUUUGGACGAUGGGCUUAAACCACAAACAAGUAAUUUUUUCAAAUAGAAGCUGGGGAUCAAUAAAGGAAAAACUGCACAAGUUUUAAUGUCCCAUAGGCAAUCUAAUGGUUCUUUUUUCUCUGUAAACUCUGUAUCAAUUUAAUAGCCCUUCUGGAUAUAAGCUGUUCUAUAUGGAAAACAGGAUUCAGAGAAAUCUGGAGAUCACUUAGUUCCUUAUUUUUCCCAGGCAGGAUGUGUGUAUACCUACAUACUUACAUACCUAAUUUCUGACACAUUUGUCUAAUCUGUUCCUAAAAAUCUCCAAUGGUAGAAGUAGCAUCCCUUUUUUAGGCAGUCUGUUCUAGUGCUUAUGUAUUUGCUUUCAGUACUGCUACUGUACUGUAGUGCCCUUUGCUCGGGCAUUUCCAUGGCUACAAACAAGAAAAGCACUGAAACAAAUAUGAAAAUAUACUCAUCUAUUCUUUUUAACAGGCUUGAUUGUUUAGACUGACUUUAAAAGAAAUUCAAGAAUUUGAGACUGCUCAGUUCUGUAAUAUAAGGAGAAUUGCGCUACAUCUCACUGUGCCUCUGCUUCCUUGUAGUGAGGAAAACAAGGUCUACGCAGAAAUGAUGGGCAGUCAAGCCUUCUUCAUUAACAAUUUCUAAAAUCUUUAUGUGAAAAGCAGUUGUAGCAAUGUUAUAUAGCUGUUACUGCUGUUAAUAAAAAUGACCCUGCAUUGUACUGAGAGGGAAACAGAGACCGACUACUGCUUUUGCACCUCCUCGUGUUGUCGAUUAACUGGGUUCUACAGUUGCAAAUACAUUACAGUAACAGACACAGUUCUUCCAGAAGCACUUCCCUGCAGGAAGGCUGUCAGGUAGGAGAAGGCAGCGUACUUGCAAGUCUCUCAUCUCCAUCUCUGUCCUCAGUGCUUUCUCUAUAGGUGAAGCUAUACGCAACGAUGAAGCAGGGCAGGGAAACCAAUGUUUUGCCACCCAGUCACUUGUUCUCGGCGGCAUGCUGACCCACUGCCAGCUCUGUGAGCUUUGUUUUUCCUUUUAAUCCCAUUAUCAUCACAUCAGAGCAUAGAGGUAGCUCAUUAAAUUUAUAAGCACUUGUAUGUUGUAAUACAUUUGAAAAGCAGCUUGAAGAAGGGAAAAGGAAUCUUACUGUAGAAAGCUAAAAUGUAUCAGUCUCAUUUGUCCCAAACCUCUGGAGUCUUGUUGCUACUAGUUUCAUAGGUCAAAAAAUAAAAUUAUGUGAGAUGCUGUAUGUGAAAGGUAGAUGACAAAUUCAUUGGGGAUAAUACUUAAGUAUGCUGGUGCUGGCAGGAAAAGAAUGAGUUAGUGUCAAGGGAAGACCGGCUCUCCAGGAGCUGCAGCACCUUUCCGUGGAUUUUCACUGCGGACAGCACUCCCAUGAAGCCAUAGUCGGACACGCAUUUAAAGCCUGCCCUACCACUGGCAGAUGCAAUUGCUACCUAGGACUAUACAGUGGGUUUUGCAUGAUAGAAGCAUCGUUUACAUGGGAAACUAAUUCUUUAGGAUAUGUGGAGUUAAUAUUAAUUGAAAUACAGUAAUUGAAAGGCCUGGCUGCUUAAUUCUUUUAUCAAACAUCAGGCAUAAACACAAUGAAAAUAUACUUCUGCUGUAUUUAAGAAAAUUAAAAAUAAUUUAUGCCUUUGAAAGUUUUAACUACCAAGUUUAAAGCAUGCUAGAUACUAAUGAACAAAAGUAUUCACCCAAGGACCUUAGACAGCAACUACUUUCCAUUAUUUCCCAAGUGUGUAUUUAUGUGUUAUCUUCAUUGCACUUCUAAUUCAGGACAGUCGGAAUCAUUCUGCACGGAAUCCCAACUCACUAUGGCUGUAAACUUGCAGCAACACUACGCGCAUGUCUCCACCAAGCUGAAUGUGAGCUGUUGAAAACUGGGUCUUUUUUUCCUUUUUAUAAAGGGGUCCGGCCAUGGAGUUAGGAAUAUGCAUUUUCUUGUCACAGAUGCAGUUUUUCUAAAUGUAGAAGUGAGAUACUGGCCAUUUGAUGGCUGAACACAAGUUGAAAGCAGAAAUAAAAGCCUGCUAUUUUAGAUCCUGUACUAUAUAAAAGUUCUUUAACUGUUUUCUGAGAGAGGGUCUGGGUUUGCUUGGGUUUUAUUUAUUUUUUUUUUGAAAGAGGUCUCAUGUUCUCUAAAUGUGAAGUUGUAAUUACAAAUUAAUUUUUGUAAUGAGAUUAUGAUAUUUUCUACAGAAAUAAUUAAAGUGGGCACUAAGCUUA